GAUAGCUUAAUGGAAGGAGCAUUCGAAAGAGGGUCAGUUACCUUCAAAGAAAGUGUACUCUGUCCUCAAGUUGGGAGAGAUCAUGUGUGAGGUAAGUGUUUCAGAAGGUUCCUUAGGGUAAUCACAUUAUACAGGGCUCUGUGCGGUGGACACAGAAUUGUAGGGGAUUGGGAGGAUGCUAUGAGAACUACCAAGGUGAUUGGUGAAAUGUCGGUCAGGCUCCAGACACCUCUGCUGCACCCACUAGGCAGGACUGGGGUAAAAUGCCCAGGUCCUUUGGGCAGAGGAAUUUCAGAAACAAUGUGAGGAAAGAUUUGGAGUUCCCAACACCUCCAUGCCAGUCCCCAUGUAAGCAAGCAGGACUUUCCCACCCAACAAUAAACGCCUCUCUCCCCUGCCCAAUAAAUAUCACUGAUGUGUUUGUGUCUUGUUACGCCACUGGGGCAGAGUAGUAAGCCCCCUGUUAAAGUCAACAAAAGCAAAAAUCAUCCCACAGCUUUUAUCAAAUACUAAAACAAUUUUCACUGUGGAAAAUUUCUUCUUAAUAGGGAAAUGGAAAAUUACAGAUAUAGAAUCAUCCAAUCUUAGAGCUGGAAGGAACCUUGGAGGUCAUCAGCUGAACCUCAAGCCCACUGCUGGAAUUCUUAUUACAACAUCCCUGCUGUCCUCUGCUUGAACGGUCCUAAGCCCGGGCCCUUUCUCAGCACCUCUAAGGAAGUUUUCCACCCAUUGUUGGGUGGUUGUUAGACAGUCAUUCUUAUGUUGAACCAAAAUAGUCCUUCUGGAAACUUCACCCUUCAGGCAGAGUUUGAAUAAGUCUAUUUCCUCUCCUCUGUGAGAGCUCUUUGAGUAUUUUAAGGCUGUAAGCCUCAUCCCCUCUGAGUCUUUUGUCCCCAGACCAAGCAUUCCCACUGCCUCCAAAUAUAUAAUGAUCCAUUCUAAAACCUGGCGAAGGACAGGCAUCAAGUCACUGGUGUGUGGUCUUCCUAAUCCUUCUUUCCCUCGUCUUGAAAACCAGAUCCACAGCAGAGAUUGGAGCAGCCUACCCGCUCUCAGGGAUUGCCCCAAGGUACAGAUGAUGCUUCUGUGAAACCUUUGCAAGUUCAGCGGUUGAGGGAUGCAAGCCGUAAACUAACGGAUGAGAGAUGAGACCCACCCAUCGGAGCCAGGCUUUGAAGGAACUGACCGCAGUGUGCAUGAGGAAGUACUUCACGGUGAUGACCCUCGCCACCCUCUCAGGAAAACACAGUGACCUCUCCCCCAACAUCCCCUUCCCACUCCCAGGUCCCCCGGCAAAGGCAGAAGAACCAAGCAAGCCUUUCCACCAAAGCAGCCAUGAACCCCAUUCUCAUCCUUUCCAAGAACUCUCUGCUAUACCAGAUAGGGGUUUGGGGUUCUGUUUUCCAUUUUUUAAAAAAAUCAUUUCAAGACUCUUGAACAGUGUGUCGGUUUACACUAUUCUAUCUUCUUAAGCCACCAUAUCAACAUAUUCACUCUGCUUCCUUUCUUUUCAUUUGGCAGAUGCCACACUUUUAAUGGCAGCAAUAAAAGGUGUUUCUAUCAAUGCCAGGUGGGCAGCCCUGACCAUCUAAAGCCUCGGAGAGGGUUAUACCAAGUCUCCUGUACACCUCCGUGCUAGUGACAACAUGUGGGGACCUCUCAUCCCAAAGUUUUGGGACAAAGUCUCCCGUCCCUUAUCAUUUGUUUUCACUGAGGCUAAAUGUAUCUGUUCAGUACAUGGAUAGAUUUUUAAGCUCCUCUCACAAAGUCUUGUGCUUGAGACAAAAUCAGCCCAGGUUCUGCACUUUGUCUAUAUUUCAGCAGCUCUCCUGCUUGAUAUUAAAAAUAGCCUUGUCUAGUCCAUCGAGAUCAGACCCAGGAGACAGGCGCCUGCUAUUCUAAUCUCUGCUUCACAAAUAGCUCUCUAUGGGCUCAAGCAUCUAUCAACACUUCCAGGGGUCUCCAGUUAUAAAACAGGGCCAGGCCUAGUCACCUAUAAAGGUAGGCUCUGCUUAACUCCCCUGAGCUGUCCAUGAGGUUAGCAUGAGGCCUACAACAAUCACAUUUCUACCAUGGACCAGAGACUUCCAAUGGUGACUCAAAACUGAGAAGCAGUUAAGAGCAUCCCCCACACUCAGGGUAUCCUGCAUUUCCCAGGCCAGAACCUACAAAAGGUUCCCUUGAGACUCAAACUCAAGCAGCACUGGUAAACAGGCUGCCCCUCCCCGCUUCUUCCCUCCUCCUGCAAACCACCCCCCAUCCCUCACUUUCACCUCCCUUCCUCCCCAAGCCCAUCUUGUACUCUGUGAAAAACUGUAGUCCCCUCAGUUGCCAAGGGAACCAAGCCUUUUAUUCCAUCCGUGACUAGCUGGUUGGGCUGAGGAGUGGGGCAACAACUGGUACCCAGGCCUUUGGAAGCCCAAGCCCUCCCUUUUUCCCAAAGGGGGAGGGGUGGGCUGCACCCCCCGUUGCCUUUUCACCCAAACCCAGCUGGGUGGGACCGAGCCCUUGGGCUCUCAGGAGCUCCCUGGCUGUGGGCUGGGGAGAUCAGUGCUCCCCAGGCCCUCCUCUGGCCCUGGCCCUUUCCAGAGGACAAUAGCCUUCAUGCAAGGGAAAAUUCCAUCGCCCAGGGUUCAAGUCUCCAAGGAGUUGCUGGGGCCUCUAUUUAGCCUGGAGUGGGCUCUGAGGAGCCGCUGCAGCUGCCCGGCUUGUUUUCCCCCUCGCUGUGUUUUAUUUUUAACCCCUGAGCUGCCAAGGAUUGUUUUUCCCCAACCAGUGCCUGGGAACUAAGGGAGGGAAGAAAUAAGGCUUUGUUCCCUUUGGGGAACUAAUUGGGAAAGACAGGCAGUGUGGCCAGCUUGGCUCUAUUAGGGUGUGGGGCUCCCACCCCUCACUGCACAACAUCUUCACCCCAAUCCAUACCCAGGAGGCUGGGAGUGCAGAAGUGCCCCCCAGGAUGCAACCAGAGGCCCGGGGGCUGGUGGGAACGCAAGUGCAGCUUCAAGACUGCAAAGGCAGCUCAGAGCCACUUUCUUGGGCUCCGAAGAUAUUCAGGAAAUAAGAUGUUGGGAGCUGGAAAUGUCUAUUUUUCCCAUUUCAACCCCCCCCAAACUAACCCCUGCUUUUCUCCUGCUGGUGGUGGUGGUUGUUGUUUUCCAGACCUGCAUAAUGAACUCUAGAAGAAAAGUGAGGGAACUCAAAAAAGUAAGAAACCAGAAAAUAAAGACAUUAUACUUUUAAACACUAGGCUAAUCAAUGGGAAACACCCAGCAACCCCACUUAUAAGUUUACUCCGUAAAAAAUAUUCCUUAUACUCAGAAAUUUAAUUUCAUUGCAAAUCAGCUAGGAAUUAAUGAAAAAUUUCUUCCACGGCCAUUUUAUUUUAAGAUCAAAUGGAUUCCAGAUAGGGACCCAUUAAGAAUCUAAGGACCAUUUUGAUCCCGUCUAGGAACAGAGCAAAUUUCUAAGGAAUCACCCACUUGCAGCAAGCCAGCACAUUCAAGUUAGGGCUGUGGCAUAUGACACCCAGUGCGUUCAAGUAAAGACUGCUCGUCUAUUUACCAAGAAUAUUUGAGAAAAGAAAAUGCCCCUGCCUGGUGGACAAUAGCACAAAGCAUUUCUCUGUACCUGGGCACAUUUGUUCCACUCGAUAAAAGAGGACCCCUGACCCAGGUACACAGGCAGUUGGAGAAGAGGACAACGAUGAACUGAUACAAAGAUGAGAAAACUGAAACAAGGUCACAAACCAGAUGAUCUAAAGGGUAGCCACUACUGCCUCCUAAAGAACCCCAAUCAGGAAUCCCAGAUUAAUUUGCCCAGCAUCCUGUUUGGAAACCACAUGUCCACCCUGCAACUGUACCUGGCUUGUGUCCCACAAGGAGGAAGAUGCAGGGGACUCCGGAAGCUAAGGAGGAGAUUGUGAACUCAGGCACCAAAUCCAACAAGCUCCCCGAGGAACUUACAACAGUCUGUUUUACAGAGAAGUAAAUGUUGCUGAGAGAGAAAAUUGUCAGGCCUCGGUGUUCCAGAGCAAGAGGCAUUCCUUCAUUCCCAGAGAGGCCCUGGGCCUCAGCAAGCAAGCCCGACAAGCCCUCCGCAGCCAGAAUCCAAGCUUCAGGCUGCACCUCCCUCACCGCUGGGCCCUGGACAGUGAGGCUGCUGCUCAGAACCCCUCUCCUCAGAGGGAAAUUCCUCAGGGCUGCCCCACCCGACCCGUUCUAUCAGUCACUCAAGCCCUCUAUCCUCUGUCACAGCCUGGCUCUGUCCCUUCCCAUGCCCCAACCCCCAACCUCCCAGGACCCAGUAUCUCAGGAUUUCUGCCCUCCUCCAGCCCCGAGCAGCCUGGAAGCCAAGUGGCAAGGAUGUAGUCAGCCGGGUGGGCCCUGAGAGCCGGUGGAAUGGUGUCCAUGUUGCAGGAAA
This 4419-nucleotide long non-coding RNA is filed under the name Homo sapiens (human). RNAcentral's name for it is "HSALNT0377693". The record is from RNAcentral. Lineage: Eukaryota; Metazoa; Chordata; Mammalia; Primates; Hominidae.